UGGGUCGAGUUUUUUACUCUGGAUGGU
This 27-nucleotide non-coding RNA is filed under the name Mus musculus (house mouse). The record is from RNAcentral. Lineage: Eukaryota; Metazoa; Chordata; Mammalia; Rodentia; Muridae.